AUUGAACGCUGGCGGCAGGCUUAACACAUGCAAGUCGAGCGGGGGGAGGUGCUUCGGUACUGACCUUAGCGGCGGACGGGCGAGUAUUGCUUAGUGAUCUGCCUAUUAGUGGGGGACAACAUCACGACAGGUAUGCUAAUACCGCAUACGGCCUAUGGGAGAAUGCAGGGGAUCACUUGUGUCCUUGCGCUAACAGAUGAGUACAAGUCGGAUUAGCUAGGUGGUAGGGUAAAGGCCUACCAAGGCAACGAUCUGUAGCGGGUCUGAGAGGAUGAUCCGCCACACUCGGACUGAGACACGGCCCAGAAACCGACGGGAGGCAGCAGUGGGGAAUAUUGGACAAAGGGGGGAGCCCUGAUCCAGACACGCCGCGUGUGUGAAGAAGGCCUUAUGGUUGUAAAGCACUUUAAGCGAGGAGGAGGCUCUUUUGGUUAAUACCCAAGAUGAGUGGACGUUACUCGCAGAAUAAGCACCGGCUAACUCUGUGCCAGCAGCCGCCGUAA
This 503-nucleotide ribosomal RNA is filed under the name uncultured bacterium. RNAcentral's name for it is "partial 16S ribosomal RNA". It matches the Rfam family "Bacterial small subunit ribosomal RNA", at positions 30 to 523 of the family's 1533-position model. The record is from RNAcentral.